CAGUAGCCACGGUAGUACGUAGGUGGCAAGCGUUGUCCGGAAUUAUUGGGCGUAAAGGGCUCGCAGGCGGUUUCUUAAGUCUGAUGUGAAAGCCCCCGGCCCAACCGGGGAGGGUCAUUGGAAACUGGGAAACUUGAGUGCAGAAGAGGAGAGUGGAAUUCCACGUGUAGCGGUGAAAUGCGUAGAGAUGUGGAGGAACACCAGUGGCGAAGGCGACUCUCUGGUCUGUAACUGACGCUGAGGAGGGAAAGCGUGGGGAGCGAACAGGAUUAGAUACCCCUGUAGUCCCUGUCUCUUAUAC
This 301-nucleotide ribosomal RNA is filed under the name uncultured bacterium. RNAcentral describes it as "partial 16S ribosomal RNA". It matches the Rfam family "Bacterial small subunit ribosomal RNA", at positions 509 to 807 of the family's 1533-position model. The record is from RNAcentral.